AUUGAACGCUGGCGGCAGGCCUAACACAUGCAAGUCGAACGGUAACAGGAAGAAGCUUGCUUCUUUGCUGACGAGUGGCGGACGGGUGAGUAAUGUCUGGGAAACUGCCUGAUGGAGGGGGAUAACUACUGGAAACGGUAGCUAAUACCGCAUAAUGUCGCAAGACCAAAGAGGGGGACCUUCGGGCCUCUUGCCAUCGGAUGUGCCCAGAUGGGAUUAGCUAGUAGGUGGGGUAACGGCUCACCUAGGCGACGAUCCCUAGCUGGUCUAGAGGAUGACCAGCCACACUGGAACUGAGACACGGUCCAGACUCCUACGGGAGGCAGCAGUGGGGAAUAUUGCACAAUGGGCGCAAGCCUGAUGCAGCUAUGCCGCGUGUAUGAAGAAGGCCUUCGGGUUGUAAAGUACUUUCAGCGGGGAGGAAGGGAGUAAAGUUAAUACCUUUGCUCAUUGACGUUACCCGCAGAAGAAGCACCGGCUAACUCCGUG
This 489-nucleotide ribosomal RNA is filed under the name uncultured bacterium. Its description in RNAcentral is "partial 16S ribosomal RNA". It matches the Rfam family "Bacterial small subunit ribosomal RNA", at positions 30 to 507 of the family's 1533-position model. The record is from RNAcentral.